UCCUACGGGGGGCAGCAGUCGAGAAUUUUUCACAAUGGGCGAAAGCCUGAUGGAGCGACGCCGCGUGGGGGAUGAAUGGCUUCGGCCCGUAAACCCCUGUCAUUCGCGAUCAAACCUUAUUAUUUAAAAGAUGAUAAGCUGAUAGUAGCGGAAGAGGAAGGGACGGCUAACUCUGUGCCAGCAGCCGCGGUAAUACAGAGGUCCCGAGCGUUGUUCGGAUUCACUGGGCGUAAAGGGUGCGUAGGUGGUGAGGUGUGUCGGAUGUGAAAUCUCGGAGCUCAACUCCGAAAUGGCAUUGGAAACUACCUUGCUUGAGGGUUGGAGGGGGGACUGGAAUACUUGGUGUAGCAGUGAAAUGCGUAGAUAUCAAGUGGAACACCAGUGGCGAAGGCGAGUCCCUGGACAACUCCUGACACUGAGGCACGAAAGCUAGGGGAGCAAACAGGAUUAGAUACCCCGGUAG
Molecule: ribosomal RNA, 463 nt
Filed under: uncultured bacterium
Lineage: Bacteria
Description: bacterial SSU rRNA
Rfam family: Bacterial small subunit ribosomal RNA
Source: RNAcentral